AAUGGCUUUUAGUGAUCUUUGAACAAAGUUUUGGGAACUCCCACUUUGUUUUUUUCUUUCUUGCUUUCUUUCUCUCACUAAACUUCUAUUUUUCUCUCUAUACUUUUCUUUCUCUCUCUAAGUUUUCUAAAAAGUGGAAUAAAAGAGAACAAAUGAAAGUGGGAGAUAAAUAGGGAAAAAAGAGCUCAUUAAAUAGCCAUGGGAGGUGUCCCC
This 213-nucleotide long non-coding RNA is filed under the name Carica papaya (papaya). Its description in RNAcentral is "long non-coding RNA (CPAP_LNC009769)". Lineage: Eukaryota; Viridiplantae; Streptophyta; Magnoliopsida; Brassicales; Caricaceae. The record is from RNAcentral.